This 257-nucleotide RNase MRP RNA is filed under the name Cottoperca gobio. RNAcentral describes it as "RNase MRP (ENSCGOG00000024021.1)". It matches the Rfam family "RNase MRP". From Rfam's summary of the family: RNase MRP is an enzymatically active ribonucleoprotein with two distinct roles in eukaryotes. The record is from Rfam by way of RNAcentral. Lineage: Eukaryota; Metazoa; Chordata; Actinopteri; Perciformes; Bovichtidae.
GGGCAUUCAGAAGGCUUGCAAUCUGGGCUACAAGCUGAGAACCUAGUUUCUCUCACUCGCCCAGGGGAAAGUCCCCGGACAAAUGGCAGAAAGUGUCCUGGUUGAAUCCAGUAUUGGCUCGCGCUCUACCGUACAUGAGCUGAGACGUUCGCACGAACCGAGCUUGGUGAUCGCGAGCCGACUUUGUCAGCGUUACUAGUAAUGCAAGUGUGCAGUAACACACGCAGAAACAGAACGGGGCUCAUUCUCGGAAUGCA